UAUUUAACCAUCUAGACACCUCUAAAAUUUCAACCACAGAUGUCUCUCUAAUUUCGCAACACAGUCAAGAGUACUAGCCUUUACUUUAUUGCAAAAAUCCAAUUUACCAAUACAAACACAAACUUUGAGCAAUGAUUGCAAAGUCCUUCCAAAUCCUAUGAAAUCUAAUUCUACACCUUUCAAAGGAGCUUGAAGCUAACUCUCU
Molecule: long non-coding RNA, 205 nt
Filed under: Physcomitrium patens
Lineage: Eukaryota; Viridiplantae; Streptophyta; Bryopsida; Funariales; Funariaceae
Description: long non-coding RNA (PPAT_LNC001385)
Source: RNAcentral